GGUGAGGUAGCUCAGUUGGUAGAGCAAUGGACUGAAAAUCCAUGUGUCGGGGGUUCAAUUCCCUCUCUCACCACAA
Molecule: transfer RNA, 76 nt
Filed under: Saprospiraceae bacterium
Lineage: Bacteria; Pseudomonadati; Bacteroidota; Saprospiria; Saprospirales; Saprospiraceae
Description: tRNA-Phe
Rfam family: tRNA
About the family: Transfer RNA (tRNA) molecules are approximately 80 nucleotides in length. Their secondary structure includes four short double-helical elements and three loops (D, anti-codon, and T loops).
Source: RNAcentral